RNAcentral lists this ribosomal RNA (323 nucleotides) under uncultured bacterium. RNAcentral's name for it is "bacterial SSU rRNA". It matches the Rfam family "Bacterial small subunit ribosomal RNA", at positions 30 to 355 of the family's 1533-position model. The record is from RNAcentral.
AUUGAACGCUGGCGGUAUGCUUAACACAUGCAAGUCGAACGGUAACAGGCCUUCGGGUGCUGACGAGUGGCGAACGGGUGAGUAAUGCAUCGGAACGUGCCCAAUCGUGGGGGAUAACGUAGCGAAAGUUACGCUAAUACCGCAUAAGCCCUGAGGGGGAAAGCAGGGGAUCGCAAGACCUUGCGCGAAUGGAGCGGCCGAUGUCAGAUUAGCUAGUUGGUGGGGUAAAGGCCUACCAAGGCGACGAUCUGUAGCGGGUCUGAGAGGAUGAUCCGCCACACUGGGACUGAGACACGGCCCAGACUCCUACGGGAGGCAGCAGU